RNAcentral lists this long non-coding RNA (507 nucleotides) under Brassica napus (rape). Its description in RNAcentral is "long non-coding RNA (BNAP_LNC024675)". The record is from RNAcentral. Lineage: Eukaryota; Viridiplantae; Streptophyta; Magnoliopsida; Brassicales; Brassicaceae.
GAGUACGGUUAUUUAAAAGGAUGCAUAGUAUUAACAAGUAUCAGGAAACCAUAAAACUGAGUCAAAUACCAAAAACAAACCAGCAACCGUAGGUUUUUAUAUAAUUCUAGGACUGGUUGAAGUUUUUUAUCUCUUUAUAAGCGAAACCACAAUCUAUAACAUUUUUUUUAUUUUUGUUACUUCUAUUAUGGCCGGCUCUGUGAUUUGAGGUGGCUGAUGAAAGAUUUUGAGGAGGAAAAAGAAGAACCAGAGUUCAAAAGGAAACUUCUUUUUUAGUGCUGCCGUAAAAAUAUUGUCUUCAGAAAAUUAUAUUGUCUUUAACAUUUUUGGCACGAGUCUCUUGCCUUUAAUACUCUUGGCAAAAGUCUCUUGCCAUCGAACUUUCUGGAUUGUGAAAAAUUGUCCAUACUUGUUUUCCGAAGUAAAACCUGAUUGAAUAGUUUUAACUUUUGUGCCUCUGAACCCCAUUCUCCCUUUUAUCUGAAGUAUACAUAAUCGUUUGCAAUC